GGAUUAGAUACCCUGGUAGUCCACGCCCUAAACGAUGAAUACUCGAUGUUGGCGAUAUACAGUCAGCGUCUAAGGGAAACCGUUAAGUAUUCCACCUGGGGAGUACGUCCGCAAGGAUGAAACUCAAAGAAAUUGGCGGGGGUCCGCACAAGCGGUGGAUUAUGUGGUUUAAUUCGAUGAUACGCGAGGAACCUUACCAGGGCUAGAAUGUAAUUGGAAUAUAGAGGAAACUUUAUAGCUAGCAAUAGCCGGUUACAAGGUGCUGCAUGGUUGUCGUCAGCUCGUGCCG
This 289-nucleotide ribosomal RNA is filed under the name uncultured bacterium. Its description in RNAcentral is "partial 16S ribosomal RNA". It matches the Rfam family "Bacterial small subunit ribosomal RNA", at positions 775 to 1067 of the family's 1533-position model. The record is from RNAcentral.